GACGGGUAUCCGGCCUGAGAGGGUGAACGGACACACUGGAACUGAGACACGGUCCAGACUCCUACGGGAGGCAGCAGUAGGGAAUAUUGCUCAAUGGGGGAAACCCUGAAGCAGCAACGCCGCGUGGAGGAUGAAGGUUUUAGGAUUGUAAACUCCUCUUGUUAGAGAAGAUUAUGACGGUAUCUAACGAAUAAGCACCGGCUAACUCCGUGCCAGCAGCCGCGGUAAUACGGAGGGUGCAAGCGUUACUCGGAAUCACUGGGCGUAAAGAGUGCGCAGGCGGGAUAGCAAGUCAGAUGUGAAAUGCUAUGGCUUAACCAUAGAACUGCAUUUGAAACUGUUAUUCUA
Molecule: ribosomal RNA, 348 nt
Filed under: uncultured Helicobacter sp.
Lineage: Bacteria; Pseudomonadati; Campylobacterota; Epsilonproteobacteria; Campylobacterales; Helicobacteraceae
Description: bacterial SSU rRNA
Rfam family: Bacterial small subunit ribosomal RNA
Source: RNAcentral